RNAcentral lists this ribosomal RNA (395 nucleotides) under uncultured bacterium. RNAcentral describes it as "partial 16S ribosomal RNA". It matches the Rfam family "Bacterial small subunit ribosomal RNA", at positions 360 to 773 of the family's 1533-position model. The record is from RNAcentral.
AAUUUUGGGCAAUGGGGGAAACUCUGAUGCAGCGACGCCGCGUGAGUGAUGAAGGCCUUCGGGUCGUAAAACUCUGUCCUAGGGGACGAUAAUGACGGUACCCUAGGAGGAAGCCCCGGCUAACUACGUGCCAGCAGCCGCGGUAAUACGUAGGGGGCAAGCGUUGUCCGGAUUUAUUGGGCGUAAAGGGUGCGUAGGCGGCCUUUUAAGUCAGAUGUGAAAGAUCACGGCUCAACCGUGGUAAGCAUUUGAAACUGGAAGGCUUGAGUUAAGGAGAGGAAAGUGGAACUCCUAGUGUAGCGGUGAAAUGCGUAGAUAUAGGAAGGAACACCAGUGGCGAAGGCGACUACCUGGACUGAUACUGACACUGAGGUGCGAAAGCGUGGGGAGCAAAC